GGCGGCGUGCUUAACACAUGCAAGUCGAACGAACCUUCGGGUUAGUGGCGGACGGGUGAGUAACGCGUGGGAAUCUGCCCUCAGGAGGGGGAUAACGGCUGGAAACGGCCGCUAAUACCCCAUAUGCCGAGAGGUGAAAUGAAAUUCGCCUGAGGAUGAGCCCGCGUCUGAUUAGCUAGUUGGUGUGGUAAUGGCGCACCAAGGCUUCGAUCAUUAGCUGGUCUGAGAGGAUGAUCAGCCACACUGGGACUGAGACACGGCCCAGACUCCUACGGGAGGCAGCAGUGGGGAAUUUUCCAAUGGGCGAAAGCCUGACGGAGCAACGCCGCGUGAGGGAUGAAGGCCUCUGGGCUGUAAACCUCUUUUCUCAAGAAGAAGAACUGACGGUACUUGAGGAAUAAGCCACGGCUAAUUCCGUGCCAGCAGCCGCGGUAAUACGGGAGUGGCAAGCGUUAUCCGGAAUUAUUGGGCGUAAAGCGUCCGCAGGCGGCCUUGUAAGUCUGCUGUCAAAGCGUGGAGCUUAACUCCAUUUCGGCAGUGGAAACUACAAGGCUUGAGUGUGGUAGGGGCAGAGGGAAUUCCCGGUGUAGCGGUGAAAUGCGUAGAUAUCGGGAAGAACACCAGUGGCGAAGGCGCUCUGCUGGGCCAUAACUGACGCUCAUGGACGAAAGCCAGGGUAGCGAAAGGGAUUGGAUACCCCUGUAGUCCUGGCCGUAAACGAUGAACACUAGGUGUCGGGGGAAUCGACCCCCUCGGUGUCGUAGCCAACGCGUUAAGUGUUCCGCCUGGGGAGUACGCACGCAAGUGUGAAACUCAAAGGAAUUGACGGGGGCCCGCACAAGCGGUGGAGUAUGUGGUUUAAUUCGAUGCAACGCGAAGAACCUUACCAGGGUUUGACAUCCUGCGAACCCCUUGGAAACGAGGGGGUGCCUUCGGGAACGCAGUGACAGGUGGUGCAUGGCUGUCGUCAGCUCGUGUCGUGAGAUGUUGGGUUAAGUCCCGCAACGAGCGCAACCCACGUCGUUAGUUGCCAGCAUUAAGUUGGGCACUCUAGCGAGACCGCCGGUGAUAAACCGGAGGAAGGUGUGGAUGACGUCAAGUCAUCAUGCCCCUUACAUCCUGGGCUACACACGUACUACAAUGCUACGGACAAAGGGCAGCAAGCUCGCGAGAGUGAGCAAAUCCCAUAAACCGUGGCUCAGUUCAGAUCGUAGGCUGCAACUCGCCUACGUGAAGGAGGAAUCGCUAGUAAUCGCAGGUCAGCAUACUGCGGUGAAUACGUUCCCGGGCCUUGUACACACCGCCCGUCACACCAUGGAAGUUGGCCACGCCCGAAGUCGUUACUCCAACCCUUGUGGAGGAGGAUGCCGAAGGUGGGGCUGAUGACUGGGGUGAAGUCGUAACAAGGUA
This 1410-nucleotide ribosomal RNA is filed under the name metagenome. RNAcentral describes it as "bacterial SSU rRNA". It matches the Rfam family "Bacterial small subunit ribosomal RNA". The record is from RNAcentral.